This is a non-coding RNA of Rhopilema esculentum, 2111 nucleotides long. NCBI's taxonomy places the organism in Eukaryota, Metazoa, Cnidaria, Scyphozoa, Rhizostomeae, Rhizostomatidae. The record is from RefSeq and is a predicted model, not a curated record.
UACAGGCCUGAUGCGCAUUGAGUGGUUUUCUUGAUGGGUGUGAUGAUGAUAAGAUGAUGUGCAUUAAAUACGGCACAGGUAAAGAUUUCCUUGUGCGGUCAAGAGGAUACUGAUGUUGACUGAGAGGAUACUGAAGAAAUCCCAGAACAUUGUGGCAUUUUUAUGAUACGUUUUAUUUUGAAUAAUUAUGCAAGCCCGCCCCUCUCUCAAAUAAGCCUGCUCUAGGACUAAAAAAAUAAAUAGAGCUUUUACGGUAAAUCAAAACAAAUCAGCCCGAAAGAUCCUACUCCAACGUCAAUGACAAUGUCAACGAAAGUAAUAUUCUCGCCGAAGACCCUGUAUUCUGAUAUUGUUUCUUUAUUAACAUCUUGAUAGAAAAGCCCAAUCCGUCUUGCUACCGCUCUUUACUGAGCUCAUAUUACGUACCAGACACCUUCUUCGUACAUAGCCAUCGGGCCCCUAUCUUAGGACUCCAUUGGUUACAUCCUCAAUAGGCAAGCGGCACUGAUUGGGCACCCUCAACAGUCAUGUGCUCACGUUUCUGAUUGGCCUAUUUUGAUCCACAACUGGGUAUAUAUAUAUUUCCUAGCGUAGAGUUUUUGAUUCAUGUUCUGACGUUUUAUACUCUGAAGGUCAGAUGAAAAGCUUAAGUAUACUCAAAUGUUUGCUUUUUUCAAGGUCAAUUUCAAAUUUUGUUAUAUUUAUUUAUUCUUUGCACAGCACAAAGGUUCCAACCUGGUUGCAACGAUACCACUUCUCCAUGCUAUUCACUGCGCAUGGCAAGUACAAUUGUGAUGCUGUAGUUAUGGAUUGCUGUAAAAAAAUUUACUGUGAUCGGCGCGGGGCCCCUAAAACUGCGAGCCCUAGAGCAUGGUCUAGUUGGCCUUUUGGUUAAUCCGGCACUGCAUUGACACAACCUGUUUUAUUGCACGUCUAUAAACUGGGGGCAAAUGCGAUGGUUACAUCACGUGGUAACAUAGGCAUGAGCCUUAUUCGCACCUUUGCUUCAACUAACUCCGGGGCUGAAUUUCAUAACGAACAGUGAUUAUAAGCCAUUUUGAUAUGGACAUGAAUAUUUUAUCACGGCUAAGCUAACAUAAGAUCAUUCGCUUUCGAAAAAAAAGAAAUUUUCAUAACGAUUACGCAGAAAUGGUAAGGUGUUGUUGGGAAGUGACAUGAUUGUUCGAGAGCAGAAGGCAAACCCUUGAGGCGAAACCGGAUAACGCUUUUUCAGAUUGUUUGUAGAGAGCUUAAUAGUUGACAAACUGCGCUUCGACUACGCGCUUAUUUCGUAUCAUAUCGCGUGGGUGAGGGAAAGGAGCAAGACUCACAGUAAUAUAUACGGCUCAUUCAGUCAAGUCUGAUGUCUGCAAACAAUCCGUAACAAGACAUUAUUUGAACAGGAAUUACGUACUUGCAUCACCUGCCUGUCCUUAAGUUUAACAUGCUGAUCUUAAAUUUGCAAAACCAGAUCACAGGGAACGCUUCAGCUUUUCUUUCUUAAAAAGUAUCCAAACAUUGCAGCCAAGACGACCAGCAAUAUUAGCAAACCGAGCUGAAAACAGAUCUCCCUGGCUCAGUGACAGAAGAAGAUUCAGAGUCUGUUAAUGCAGCGUGCAAUGCGUUGUACUUAGGCCGGUAAAGAAUAUAAUGUUUGAGGAAAAUAUUUUUUCCAGCUUAGGAACAGUGCGAUGCCAAAGCACACAGUUGCUGUUCAGACGAGUCCCGGGCACUGUUCGGCACAAGGCAACUUCAGCUUGAGCCUUGUGCACAGCAUACAACCGGAACAUUUCACUACUGUGCAGAUAUGCAAGUUGGAAGAUGCGUUCAGACAAAACACAAAGCCUGACACAGUGACUAUGCAGAUACUGGCGAUGGAAAGCAACUUGCUUUAUUGCGACGUCGUGGCAUGGUUUCGAGAGCGAAGACUAAAAUGGGUUGAAGAUGCAGAGAAAUUCACAACAAAGUCAGUAGAUCGACCUGCAGAUACAAAGACAACAGACGAAAAUUUACCUGACGUACAGUGUUAAUGUAUUUCUAACUAAUUUUUAUAUUUUGAAAUAUUGAAAUAACGUAAAUUAUUUCCUGAUUACAUGGAUACAGCCAUUUUA